CAACUUUACAGCUACGAUCAUGAUAUAUAGGUUUAUGCACGGCAAUGGGCCUUCGUCAAGCUCUAGCGCACACGUGUACUGAAUAAUGGGUAGUGUAGAAGGAAAGUUCAAAUGUGAUUGCACUCCACCAAAAUAUGGCGCACCGUCAGAGUACACUGGCAGUGCUCACACUGAGGUGGAGGAACAUUCUUCAAAAGAAAGAAAUGAAUGGGUCAAGUAUGUAUGCCCGAUGCGAGCACUACACGAGACUAUUUCCACCUUCCUGCACUGCCUAUAGGAGGACUGCCACUGCACCAGGACUGGCUUGACAGCAUGAAACUUCCCCUGCACGUGUUGUAACCUCACCGUGGUGCAGGGGUGUACCAUUCUCUUUGAGAAUGGCCAAUACAGCAGAAAUCCCCUUUUUUUCUUCGAAAUACAAUUAAAAUUUUGAAUAAAAGUUAGUAUCUAUCUGUG
Long non-coding RNA from Gigantopelta aegis, 456 nucleotides. RefSeq lists it as uncharacterized. The transcript is spliced from 2 exons. The record is from RefSeq and is a predicted model, not a curated record. Lineage: Eukaryota; Metazoa; Mollusca; Gastropoda; Neomphalida; Peltospiridae.